UUGGUGGAGAGAAACAACAACGCCAAACAGGCCACACCAGUUCCACCCUUUUAAUGUUCAUGGCCCAACCAGGUGUCCAUGCGCAUGCGCUUGACAGAAGGGCUCGCCCUGUUGUCCUCGGUGCCGGCCGGGGGUCUGCCCAGCCCCAUGGAGGAGGUGUGGAAGUCUGGCCGGUGGUCCUCGCGGUCGCUGCCAUCGUAUGAGCUGCAGGAGGAGCUGAGGCUGUCCACUGGCGAGCGGCCCAGGUCCUGCCGGCUGGACGCCUGCUGCUGCUGAUGCCGCUGCUGUUGCUGCUGCUGGUGGAAGCCAGAGGGGGUGACGCGCUCCCGAGGAGGGGAGAUGGGUUCUGACUUGAUAUUGAUGUUUUGGCUGGUGUUGAUGGAGAGGUUGGAGCCCUGAGAACUGAGAGCUGCCUGGCCCAGUUGAUGUUGUUGCCAUGCCGACAUGGAGCCCAGAGAGAGCCCUGGAGAGCCGAAGCCCUGUAGGGAGGAGAUCUCUGCACUGCUCAGGGAGUACUCUGCAACAACAGCACCAGAGAACAGUGAUCAAAUAAAAAUGCAGCAUGAGAACGAAUGCCACUUGCUGAUUGCUGUUGAUGGAAGUGAAUCUAAGCUGCACGUCAACCAGUCCCACCAGGAAGAAAGGGGUCCUCAGACAGCACUGAUAUCCUCAUGACAUUGUCUCCUGCGCCAAAACAUUUCCAGCAUGGCACGCUAUACCACAAUGAUACCGUCACGAUCCUGUGUAGGGAAAAUGAAACUCCCUCUGUUGCACACAUGUGAGGGGAAAGGAGAAUGCUUCUAAGCCAGAAUCUAAGCCAGCCCUAGGACAGAGAUACAUAGUGUUCCUACAGUCUGCUCAUGUGCAGUGAGGAGUGGGGACUGUAGACUACUCACCAGUGGAGGCAUCAUGCCUUUGCUGGAUGGGGGGAUCACCACUCUCAGGUCUGGCUUGCGGUUUCCCAUCCCCAUGUUCACUCCAGGGGGCGGUGGAGACUUGGUGGGCAUGACUUUCCCCAGGCUGUUCCCGCUGGGUGUGCCCAGGAGUCCCGGAGAGCCCCUGGAGUUGACAAAGCUACUCCCUGGAGAGACACACAGGGACAAAAGCCAUCACGGGACUGUGAGCCACCACAACAACAGGCAUCUGCCAAAUCUCCAACCAUUUAAAGCUGCAUAGCUUGCUACGGCAUGCAACGUUAAGUGUUCCCAACCCUCUGGGAAGUUUUAAUAGACUCUGAUAAUUAUCCUGCACAUUUACCAAAAUAAAAUGUCCAUUUCAGAA
Molecule: long non-coding RNA, 1281 nt
Organism: Oncorhynchus kisutch (coho salmon)
Lineage: Eukaryota; Metazoa; Chordata; Actinopteri; Salmoniformes; Salmonidae
Exons: 4
Source: RefSeq, a predicted model, not a curated record